GGCUGGAUCAUUAUCGAGCAAAAACAAACAAGGUAUUGAAUGCUUCGGCGUUCAACUUUGUGGUGGCAAACGAUUAAUGUGCGGUACGUUUGACUGACGUAUGCCUGCACGCCGCCAAACCCAACGGCAUUCGGUUGGUGUCUAACUGGUUCGGAGCAGAUGUUGUACUGUAGUCCGUGUCUGUGAAGAAGAGCCAGGAUAGCGUAUACGUCCUCCUAGUUGAGGGUUGCGGAUGCGUAGACUUAAUGAGCCCCAUGCCUCGGGGAAGCCAACCACCCAUUUUUUUCAACGAUAUUUUCAAAUAAUAAGACAAAUACCAGUCUUACCGGUGGAUCACUCGGUUCGUGGAUCGAUGAAGAACGCAGCAAACUGCGAUAAGUAGCGUGAAUUGCAGACGCUUUGAACGUUAAACUUUCGAACGCACAUUGCGCCGUAGGAGUCCUACCCUACGGCACAUCUGGUUGAGGGUCGUGAUCUAAAACAGCAGGACUAUCGCUGUAUGAGAAGUAGCUGGUGAAUCACGAGUCCGACCCACCCGUACUCGGGUUGGACGUGUUUUGCCAUAAUGCUAUAGAGGACGUACCCGUCGAUAUCCGGUCAAACGGAUAGACGGCGCGGACGCCUACCACACGGAUGAUCUAUUAGCCGUAGCAAUAGGUUCCGGUCAUCGGGUCUAGUUCUUAGAGACUUGGUGGCGACGGGGACAGCGGCUAGUAUGCUUCAUACGUGCCUGGUGCAUGAGAGUUUUCGCUCUCCCGACCUCAACUCAGGUGUGAUUACCCGCUGAACUUAAGCAUAUCAGUAAGCGGAGGAAAAGAAACUAACGAGGAUUCCCUCAGUAACGGCGAGUGAACGGGGAAGAGCCCAGCGCUAAAUCCUGCUGCUCUAACGGGUAGCGGGAGGUGUAGCGUAUAGUAGGCGAUUUCCUUGAUGGUUGUCGACUUAAGUUCUCCUUGACUGGGGUUCCAUAGAAGGUGAAAGGCCUGUUCAGUCGAUGACCGUCUUGGAUUCCGCACUACUUGGAGUCGGGUUGUUUGGGAACGCAGCCCAAAUUUGGUGAUAAACUUCAUCUAAGGCUAAAUACGGCCACGAAACCGAUAGCAAACAAGUACCGUGAGGGAAAGUUGAAAAGUACUUUGAAGAGAGAGUUCAAGAGGACGUGAAACCGGUAGGAUGGAAACGGAUAGAGCCAACGAACAAGCCCGUAUUCAGCUAGUCGACUGCGUGCGGCAUGGCUGGGCCCUAGAUAUAGGGACUGGUCGUGUGCGGUAUGCGGUUGGCUAGUGCAUUUGCGGGUGAUGUGCGCUGAGGCGUGUGGUGGAGCGCUGCAAAGUGCCGGGAGAGGCCUCGUCUUCGGACUUGGAACCUACCGGCGCGGAGUAGUGUUUCUGCUGCACGUAGCCUUGGACUAGGGCAACGCGGUGUCUUGCUGCUGGGCUAGCUGCUUGGCCGGUCGCAUGCGACUAGGUCUCGUUGGUUGGUCUUAGUGGUAGGGCACUGACCUGGUCUUCCCUCGGUGUAAAAGUUGGUCAUCUCUCCGACCCGUCUUGAAACACGGACCAAGGAGUCUAGCGUAUACGCGAGUCAUUGGGUGGAAAACCCAUAGGCGUAAUGAAAGUGAAGGUCUCUUUCUGAGGCUGAUAUGCGAUCCGUUGCACUACGGUGUAUGCGGAGCAGCAUAGCCCCAUCUCGACUGCUUGCAGUGGGGUGGAGGUAGAGCGUAUUCGCUGGUACCCGAAAGAUGGUGAACUAUGCCUGAGCAGAAUGAAGCCAGAGGAAACUCUGGUGGAGGUCCGAAGCGCUUCUGACGUGCAAAUCGAUCGUCUGACUUGGGUAUAGGGGCGAAAGACUAAUCGAACCAUCUAGUAGCUGGUUCCCUC
RNAcentral lists this unclassified non-coding RNA (1880 nucleotides) under uncultured fungus. RNAcentral's name for it is "sequence contains 18S rRNA gene, ITS1, 5.8S rRNA gene, ITS2, 28S rRNA gene". The stretch from base 757 to 1880 matches the Rfam family "Eukaryotic large subunit ribosomal RNA", at positions 1 to 961 of the family's 3401-position model. Lineage: Eukaryota; Fungi. The record is from RNAcentral.